UACGUAGGGCGCAAGCGUUGUCCGGAAUUAUUGGGCGUAAAGAGCUCGUAGGCGGCUUGUCACGUCUGCUGUGAAAUCCCGGGGCUCAACCCCGGGCGUGCAGUGGAUACGGGCUGGCUAGAGGCAGGCAGGGGAGAACGGAAUUCCCGGUGUAGCGGUGAAAUGCGCAGAUAUCGGGAGGAACACCGGUGGCGAAGGCGGGUCUCUGGGCAGUAACUGACGCUGAGGAGCGAAAGCGUGGGGAGCGAACAGG
This 253-nucleotide ribosomal RNA is filed under the name uncultured bacterium. RNAcentral's name for it is "partial 16S ribosomal RNA". It matches the Rfam family "Bacterial small subunit ribosomal RNA", at positions 524 to 776 of the family's 1533-position model. The record is from RNAcentral.